Molecule: non-coding RNA, 794 nt
Filed under: Onthophagus rhinolophus
Lineage: Eukaryota; Metazoa; Arthropoda; Insecta; Coleoptera; Scarabaeidae
Source: RNAcentral
GAAAAAUUUGAUUUUAGUUUUUUAAUUUAAUUUAUAUUUUUAUUAUAUACAAAGUUUAAAAAUUAAAUUAUUUAAAUAGUAAUUUAAUUAAUUAUAAUUAUGAGUAAUAAUUAAUUUUAUACAAUAAAAGUAAUUUUGAUAUAGGAAUAAGUAAUAGUAUUGGUAAAAUUUGUGCCAGCAAUCGCGGUUAAACAGAUAAUACAAUUAAAUUUUAUUUGGUAAUAAUAAAUAGAUAAAUUUUUAAUUUAAAAUUAAAUUUAUUAGGUGGAAUUUUUAAAUUUAAAUAUGAUUAAAUAAUUUUUUAUGAAGUUAUGAAAUUUAGGUAUUAAACUAGGAUUAGAUACCCUAUUAUAAUAAAUAUAAAAAAAAAUAUCAGGGGAUUAUUAGUUAUGUUCUUGAAAUUUAAAGAAUUUGGCGGUAUUUUAGUCUUUUCAGAGGAACCUGUUCUGUAAAUGAUAAUCCACGAUUAAUUAUACUUAAUUUAAUAGUUUAUAUAUCGUCGUAGGUGGAAUAUCUUAAAAGAGGUAAAAUAUUCAGAAUUUAUUAUUAUAUAAAGAAAAUCAGAUCAAGGUGUAGCUUAUAGUUGAGUAGAAAUGGGUUACAAUAAAAAAAUUUAAAUGGAUAUAAUAUUUAAAAAUAUUAUUAAAAGUGGAUUUGAAAGUAAUAUAUUUAAUUUAAAAUAUAUGAUUUUAGCUCUAAAAUAUGUACAUAUCGCCCGUCACUUUCAUUGAAGAAUUGAAAAAUGAAAUAAGUCGUAACAUAGUAGAUGUACCGGAAGGUGUAUCUAGUUAGCA